ACUCAAAGGAAUUGACGGGGACCCGCACAAGCGGUGGAGUAUGUGGUUUAAUUCGACGCAACGCGAAAAACCUUACCUAGGCUCGAACGACUGGAAGUAGCCCCGAUGAAAGUUGGGGUGGCCUGUAAAGUCAGGAACCAGCCGAGGUGCUGCAUGGUUGUCGUCAGCUCGUGUCGUGAGAUGUUGGGUUAAGUCCCGCAACGAGCGCAACCCCCAUUCUGUGUUGCUAACCCGCAAGGGUGCACUCUCAGGAAACUGCCCACGAUGAGUGGGAGGAAGGUGGGGACGACGUCAAAUCACCAUGGCCCUUAUGUCUAGGGCUACACACGUACUACAAUGGCCGGUACAGAGGGCUGCAAUACCGCAAGGUGGAGCUAAUCCUUAAACCCGGCCUCAGUUCAGAUUGUGGGCUGAAAUUCGUCCACAUGAAGGAGGAAUCGCUAGUAAUCGCGGAUCAGAAGGCCGCGGUGAAUACGUUCCCGGGUCUUGUACACACCGCCCGU
This 503-nucleotide ribosomal RNA is filed under the name uncultured bacterium. Its description in RNAcentral is "partial 16S ribosomal RNA". It matches the Rfam family "Bacterial small subunit ribosomal RNA", at positions 899 to 1397 of the family's 1533-position model. The record is from RNAcentral.